CACAUGCAAGUCGAGGGGCAGCAUAUUUAUAGCAAUAUAGAUGAUGGCGACCGGCGCACGGGUGAGUAACACGUAUCCAACCUCCCUUUUACUCGGGGAUAGCCUUUCGAAAGAAAGAUUAAUACCCGAUAGUAUAUGGUUUUCUCAUGAAGACCCUAUUAAAGAAUUUCGGUAAAAGAUGGGGAUGCGUUCCAUUAGGCAGUUGGCGGGGUAACGGCCCACCAAACCUACGAUGGAUAGGGGUUCUGAGAGGAAGGUCCCCCACAUUGGAACUGAGACACGGUCCAAACUCCUACGGGAGGCAGCAGUGAGGAAUAUUGGUCAAUGGGCGGGAGCCUGAACCAGCCAAGUCGCGUGAAGGAAGAAGGAUCUAUGGUUCGUAAACUUCUUUUGCAGGGGAAUAAAGUGCAGGACGUGUCCUGUUUUGUAUGUACCCUGAGAAUAAGGAUCGGCUAACUCCGUGCCAGCAGCCGCGGUAAUACGGAGGAUCCGAGCGUUAUCCGGAUUUAUUGGGUUUAAAGGGAGCGUAGGCGGACGCUUAAGUCAGUUGUGAAAGUUUGCGGCUCAACCGUAAAAUUGCAGUUGAUACUGGGUGUCUUGAGUACAGUAGAGGCAGGCGGAAUUCGUGGUGUAGCGGUGAAAUGCUUAGA
RNAcentral lists this ribosomal RNA (650 nucleotides) under uncultured Bacteroidota bacterium. RNAcentral describes it as "bacterial SSU rRNA". It matches the Rfam family "Bacterial small subunit ribosomal RNA", at positions 52 to 694 of the family's 1533-position model. The record is from RNAcentral. Lineage: Bacteria; Pseudomonadati; Bacteroidota.